Molecule: ribosomal RNA, 253 nt
Filed under: uncultured bacterium
Lineage: Bacteria
Description: partial 16S ribosomal RNA
Rfam family: Bacterial small subunit ribosomal RNA
Source: RNAcentral
UACGUAUGUCGCAAGCGUUAUCCGGAUUUAUUGGGCGUAAAGGGCACGCAGGCGGGCUUUUAAGUGAGAUGUGAAAUCCCCGGGCUUAACCUGGGAAUAGCAUUUCAGACUGGGAGUCUAGAGUACUUUAGGGAGGGGUAGAAUUCCACGUGUAGCGGUGAAAUGCGUAGAGAUGUGGAGGAAUACCGAAGGCGAAGGCGGCCCCCUGGACAAAGACUGACGCUCAGGUGCGAAAGCGUGGGGAGCAAACAGG